AGUCCAGUGGUUAUGACUCAGCACUUUCACUGCUAUGGCCCCAGGUUCAAUUCCUGG
Molecule: transfer RNA, 57 nt
Filed under: Bos taurus (domestic cattle)
Lineage: Eukaryota; Metazoa; Chordata; Mammalia; Artiodactyla; Bovidae
Also listed under: 5 other names
Rfam family: tRNA
About the family: Transfer RNA (tRNA) molecules are approximately 80 nucleotides in length. Their secondary structure includes four short double-helical elements and three loops (D, anti-codon, and T loops).
Source: Rfam by way of RNAcentral